UUAGAGUUUGAUCCAUGGCUCAGGACGAACGCUGGCGGCGUGCCUAAACUAUGCGUGUCGCGCGGGCGUAGCCCGCGGCAUCCAGCUUACAGUAACCAGUAAUCAGUUAAGACUGAAGGCUGUGGGCUGAAUGCUGUGGACUGCGCUAGCGGCGAACGGGUGAGUAACGUGUGAGUAACCUGCCCCCGGAACCGGGAUAACUCCGAGAAAUCGGGGCUAAUACUGGAUAUGAAGUCCGCCCGCAUGAGCGGACUUGGAAAAGAGCAAUCCAUCCGGGGAGGGGCUCGCAUCCUAUCAGCUAGUUGGUGGGGUAAAGGCCUACCAAGGCGAUGACGGGUAGCCGGCCUGAGAGGGUGGUCGGCCACACUGGGACUGAGACACGGCCCAGACUCCUACGGGAGGUAGCAAGUGGGAAUCUUGCACAAUGGGCGAAAGCCUGAUGCAGCGACGCCGCGUGAGGGAUGAAGGCCUUCGGGUUGUAAACCUCUGUUGACAGGGAAGAAUCACUGA
RNAcentral lists this ribosomal RNA (510 nucleotides) under uncultured bacterium. RNAcentral describes it as "bacterial SSU rRNA". It matches the Rfam family "Bacterial small subunit ribosomal RNA", at positions 1 to 456 of the family's 1533-position model. The record is from RNAcentral.